Long non-coding RNA from Myotis davidii, 81 nucleotides. RefSeq lists it as uncharacterized. The record is from RefSeq and is a predicted model, not a curated record. Lineage: Eukaryota; Metazoa; Chordata; Mammalia; Chiroptera; Vespertilionidae. The transcript has 3 exons.
GGGCCGCAGACUCUUCGGUAUACAUGUCCUCGGUCACGGCAUUCAACUGGUGCGACACGGCCUUUGCCUUCUGCAGCUAAU